GCAGAAUGAAUCAGUAACCCCCCAAACCAAAACUUCAGAAAGGAUAUAGGUGUAUAAAGUGUAUAGAUGUAUAAGUAAGCCGAUUUCACAAUCUUUCAAAGCCUACAGACAAGCAUCGAAAGUAGAGGUGCAUGCAUUUUAAUUGGAAUUGAGACAGCAUUCGCAGGAACAAAAAUGAAAAAGGAGGAGAUAGUUCCUGGGUUUGUAACUUCUGGCGGAGGAAGCGCGGUGAGAACUAUUUACUGUCUUCCAAUAACUAUUAUUCGUCUUGUUUCCAUCAGGGCUUUAUGCCAAGGAUAUCCUGGGACUGCAAGGGGCAGAGUCCUAGCUCUGUAAUUAAAUUCACUCAUACAACAAAAGAAAAAAAAAAGAAAGAAAGAAAAAGAGGCUAGAGGGCGCGGCUACGGGGGCGGGACUAGGCCUCUGCGUCCCGCCUAGACCAAGGAGGGGACGUCACCGCCCCGAACUUCCCGCAGCCUACAGCCCGCGCGCUGGGCGCGGGGAAAUGGGCGGGGGAAUGUGACGACACUUCCGGGGCGGGCGCACGUGGCACUUCCGGGCCGGCCCAACUUCCAGCCGCCAUUGGGGAGGCCGAGCUAGGUCCCCGCAGGCUCCUCGGGCAGGGUCUCGCUGCAGCCUCUGGACGCUGCGCAGAAUGGUUCAACUUCUCAUCUUUGUCCUAUUGUAAGCUGUUGUCUGUGUAUUGGUCAAAAGGCUAUGUAGAUUACCUGCCCUUUGAAGACCACUUUUAAGGUGUCUCAUAAGACAGCUGGUAAGUCUAGCAGGAGAAAGUACAUUAUGGCUUGUUUCUUCUCCACUCUUGAAGCAUUUGUCUAGGGUUUAUAGUAUUUUUGCCUUAGCAUUUCUAUGUAUGUGCUGUUUGUUUGCUUGUAAUACUUUGUAUUUUUUCA
Molecule: long non-coding RNA, 911 nt
Filed under: Chinchilla lanigera (long-tailed chinchilla)
Lineage: Eukaryota; Metazoa; Chordata; Mammalia; Rodentia; Chinchillidae
Description: lncRNA (ENSCLAG00000028882.1)
Source: RNAcentral